Long non-coding RNA from Camelus dromedarius (Arabian camel), 618 nucleotides. RefSeq lists it as uncharacterized. The record is from RefSeq and is a predicted model, not a curated record. The transcript has 3 exons. NCBI's taxonomy places the organism in Eukaryota, Metazoa, Chordata, Mammalia, Artiodactyla, Camelidae.
CCUAGCCUCAGCAGAAAGAAAAGGGGAGGGUGUCAGUUAGACUUUAAUAGGUGCCUGUUCUACCAGCUGUGGACCGUCUGCAGCUGCAGCGACACCGAGACGCAGCCUAGUCCUCAGCCUCAGGCCCGGACGCACCAGACGAAGGCAAGCCAGGCUACAGGAUCAGCCACGGCCCCACCACACCCGUCACAAACAGGGUGCGCGCAGACUGUGUGCACGGAGACACCGAGCACCAGAGGGAGACACGGAGCGGAUGACAGCAGGCUCCUUACCACCACCGACGGCAGAAGACAACCAAAGAACCAACAGGGCUGCAGAGCACCAGGUCACACACGCCUCUGCGGGGCCAGCCUUCACACAGGCCUUCAGCAGACCCCAGUUAAGGACAGCGUCACAGCAUCACUGUCCCCUAACAGCUUCCACCUGACAUAACCCGAGGGAGACACCCCGCAAGCCAGGUCCAUUAGCAAGGAUGUGCGCCUCACGAAUGAUGGACCAGAUGGACCGAGUAACAAGGUCGGGCGUUUUAACAACAGCAGGCGACCCUCACGGCGACCUGCUGACCUGCAGGGAUCCAGGUACCAGAGGAGAGGCCAGGACGCCACCUCUCACCUCAGC